RNAcentral lists this ribosomal RNA (441 nucleotides) under Triticum aestivum (bread wheat). RNAcentral describes it as "partial small subunit ribosomal RNA". The record is from RNAcentral. Lineage: Eukaryota; Viridiplantae; Streptophyta; Magnoliopsida; Poales; Poaceae.
AUGAAUGCACGACCCAUUUGCUGCUCCCUCCCCUAUGGGCGAUUCAACCUCAUGCCCCGCCUCCGCUCAACCCAAGCCCCGUUCAUCCAGCAGGCCGUACGGUGUUGUUUGAUCGCUCAGCUAAAGGGUCUCCAACCAGGAUGCAUCAAGGCAUAUGCUAGCACCAUGGGGAAACAAAUCGUGAACAUGCUUGGUGAACUCGCCACAAAGGAGGUCGCCCGGCUGUGGAGGUUUAAAGACUAUGUUGAUGCCAUGAUGGACAAGAUGCAAGAUCUGGAAGCCGUUUACACGAUGCGGAUGAUAGGCCGCGCCAAGGAGGGAGAGACGGGGAAGUUGUUGGGAGGUGGCUCGCCAAAUUCAAGUCUGUCACCGAAGACGGAGGACGUGCUGAACGACCUGGACGCUGCAGAUCAACAUGGACAUGGACUUUUCACUUUCUAG